This 8399-nucleotide long non-coding RNA is filed under the name Sarcophilus harrisii (Tasmanian devil). RNAcentral describes it as "lncRNA (ENSSHAG00000027683.1)". Lineage: Eukaryota; Metazoa; Chordata; Mammalia; Dasyuromorphia; Dasyuridae. The record is from RNAcentral.
GAAAAAGGGGGAAUAAGCUGCGGUUUGUGCCCCGCCUCCUCCUGGCUUCUAGGACUCUCCUCCCUCCCCCUCUAACCUUCCUCUCCCUCCCUCCCCUCCCCUCCCCCCCCAAGCCCCUGCAGUUGGGCAGAUCAAAUCCCCCCGGGUCCCCGGCCCCGGCCCCGACCUGCUACCAGCGCAGCUGACACCUUAGUGAGCCGAAGGCCCGGCCGCCCCCGCGCUCCCCUCGUCCCGCUCCCGCUCCGUCCUCGGUUAGAUCCUGUUUUGGGAAACGUCCAUAAAACAAUAAAACCUUUGACCUCUGACUCGCGGUGUUCGGGGCAGGGGGAGGGGGCUGCUCCCCUCCCGGUGUCGGGGUCCCACCGCCCCGCUUUCUGCCCCCCCAACUUGUGCCUUUGGUCUGGGAUUCUCUGGGGGACCCUCUCCCACCUGCACGUGGGGCCCCGGCACCUGGCCCUCAGAAUGUCCUGGGGAUGCUGGGAAAUCCCCGCUCGGGGGCGGCCCUGGGUCCUGACUGGGGGGGACAAGCUGCGCCCAUCACGCCGCGGCCCCCCAGAAACGUGGGAGACAAUUCUGGGGACCCCCGAGGUCAGCGGGGGGCGGAGCCCCAGCCGCCGCCGCCGCCGGGAUCUGGGUGGGAGGAGGCAGAGGAAGGUUGUGGGUGCCCAGGGGACCCUCCCCCAUUGCCUGGUCAUAAUAAUCGCCUUAGGUUGGAGCAGGCCCCUCGUUUUGCAGGGGAGGAGGCUGGUCCUUCUUCACCUUUUCUGGGGUUGCCGGGCCCCCGGUUCUGGGGUCUUGAUCUCAUGCUCUCAGUUCUAUCCAAAUUUGGCCCCUAUGUGUUAAGCACCUACUGUGUGCUGGGUGGUGGAGGGAGGGCCUCAAAGCCGGGAGGAGCCGAGUUCGAGUCCCCACGCGGAGACAUCGCGCCUGGAUGAGUCACGGUUUGUGCCUCAGUUUCCCCCAACUUGGAGAGGCCAAAGUUCAGACAUUCUCCCACCAGGGGGAGGAGGGAACGACGGCUUUCUGGGCAGUGAGGGGCAAGAGCCACGUGGGGCUCCCUCCUUUGGGGGGAACGCCCCCAGCCGGCCCCACCCACGUGCUGGCCUUCUCCCCCCGAGGUGCGGCGGCCCCAGAGGGACGGAGAAGCGACUCCCGCCUCCCUCGGGGACUCGGCCCCGAGCGACAAUGGAGCCCCGCGGAUGCUCAGCUCUUAUUUAUCCCCACGGGGAGGUUUCGCCCUUCGAACCCCCCACCCUCCGCCCUUCACUCUGCGGGUUCCUGCCCGCCUGGUUCACGUCCCACGGCCACAGCGACCCUCCCCCCUCCCCGGGGGCAUGUGCCCCCCCGCCCCCCAUUCUCUCCAGGCUUUUUGGGGAGUGGGUGACAGACGCCCGGGUCUCCUGGGUCCGCCACAUGUUCCUUCCUUAUAGAGCCCUUAUCCUCAAUCAGCCCCGCCCAAGGGGCCACAAAUGGCGCCGCCUCUGCCGGGGGAGCUUGUCCCCCUCCCCGCCAGCUCCCGCCGCUUCCCCUCCCUCCCUCCUCCCCUUCGGCCCCGGCCCCGCUUCCCGCUGCCCUUUGCUUUCCUCCCAGCCCCGGGGCCCUCCCGGAGGCCUGCGGGCGCCGGGGUCUGGGCCAGAGGGGGCAACUGUAGGAAAAUUUCACUUUAUAAAAUAAAUAUGAAGCUCUGGAGCCUCCCGCAAGUGUCGCCAUGGAAACGAGAGCCUGGGCUGUCACCAUGGAAACGGGAGGAGGGGUUGUCCCUGCUUGACAGAGUUUCCUGCCGCCGUGGUGGGAGACUUCGUUAUCCGAGGAAGCCUUUGCUCCCCGUCUCCCCACAUGGUGCCCGGGAUGGGGCGCUUCUCUCUGCAGGGGAUUAGGGAACGCGGCGUAUGCAGAAAGGAGCAGAUUUCCAGCAUCAGGCGGCAGGGGGAGGGGGAGGGGCUCCCUCACUUUCUCCUUCCGCCCAGUGAACCCAUCAAUCAGCGAGCCUUUCCUGAGCACCUACUACGUGCACAGCCUUGGGCAAGGCUGAAAUCAGUCCCUGGUCAGGCAUUUAUUAAAUACCCACUGUAUGCAGGGCAUAGCCCCUGCCUCCAAAGGGAGAAAGAAGACAAUAAACAGAUAAAUAGUGUCAUUGAUUCAGUCCCAUAGUCCAAACGCUGGGCAGCCAGGGCGUGCAGUGAGAGGCGCCGGGCCGGAGUCCGGAGUUCAAAUUCGGCCUCACCACUUCCUAGCUGGGGGACUUUGGACCACUCACUCCCGUUUCCUCUUCUGUCAAACGAGCCAGAGAAGCCCCGCCACGGACCGGGUCGUUACAGCCGAAGUAGCGCAAGGAAGUCUGCGGGGGACUGCCGGGAGCUGGGGGGAGGGGCGUUUGAGCCGAGCCCAGAAGGAGGAGAGAGAGGGGGGAACCUCAGAGCGGGGGGGGGGGGGGGUGCCCAGGGAAGGAGGAGGGUGAUGCCUCCCUCACACUAACUGGCUCACUUAAGGCUGGGGUAAAACUACCGCCCCCUCCGGGCCACGUGGGGCCCCCUCGGAUGAAAGCUUAUGUCGGACCCAGGAGUAGGAGGAUGCUCCGUUGUUCGCCAGGUCCCGCUCUCGGGCAGGUCUCUUCCUCGUUUCCCAUCCCCCGGGCCCGGCCCACGUUGGGUCUCCCUCCUUCCUCUUCACUGGCAGAACCUCGGACUCUCUCCUUGGUUCUGAACUCGCCGCUGUCCCCGCGGCUGAGACAGACCCUCCGGCCCAGAAGGACCAGGCUUGUUCCGCGCGGGAAGAGCCUUCACAUGCAGGGUCCCGCCCUAGCCUCUCCCAGGCAGUGAGACCUAGUGCGCAGGUGUCUCCCAGAGGGAAGAGGCACCCAGCUGGGCCCAAGGGACGCCCCUGGGAAGGAGCAUCUGUGUCCCACGGUCCCCAGCCGGGGAAUAGCCUUGGAAGCCCCCUAGGUCCCGCCGUGUGUCAGGAAGGGGGCGCGGGGAGAGAGCAGGCGCACAAGGACGAGGGUGUCCCCCGUGGGGCCGUAGAGGUCAGCUAGUCCCUCGGUCUUAUUUGACGGAGGAGGAAACUGAGGCCCACAAAGUGAUAGUUCUGGGCCAAGGCCACAGGCGCAGUAAGUUCUAGAAGCAGAAUCUGGACCCGGGAUCUCUGCCCCCAGAGCCUGUGCUCAUCUGCUGACCUCAUCCAACACCCAGGCCCCAUCUGGCCACUCCUCUGCUCGAGAAUCUUCCUGGUCUCCUAGUCACGAUCCAAAAGGAUCCGAAUGUUUCCCUGGCCUUUGGGACCGCUGCAGCCUGGCUCCGACCUUCCUUCUCAGCCUCAUCUCACAGGGUCACAGACUGAAAGCUAGGAGGAGGAUGGGGUCGUCUUGUCCAGUCCUUUGGUUUCAUAGGAGGGGAACGGAGGCCCAGAGAGGGAACAUGGCCCGUCUGGGGCCGCAGAGACAGGAAGGUGGGGAUUUGAACUCACAUCAUGCUCUGUUUUGCCAGACUGGAUGACCUAGUGAUCUCUGAUCUAGAAGAGACUUGCUGGUUACAGCUCUGGAACUAGAGAGGAGCAAACCAGACUCGGACUCACUAGCCGUGGGAUCCUGGCCAAGUCCACCACCUGCCAGAUAUCCUGCGUUUCUCCUUCCUUCUCCGUUCCUUCAGUUCUUGGACAAAGCCAUCCACACUUACUGGCUCCCUUACUGCUCAGUCUGUUCUAAACCCUCCAUAAUCUGCCUCUGACCUUCCCAUUCAAAGAAAACUACUCUUCUUCCAAAGUGGCCAGUGGCGUUUCACUUGUCCUCUCCUCCAUUGUCAUCCUCCCUGACUUCUCUGGAACAUUUGCCACUCUCGGUCUCCUUCUCCUUGAUGUUUUCUCCCUUCUGGGUUUUCCAAAACAGAACUCACUGUAUUUCCCAUCAGACCCUCCUCUCUUCUGACCUUCCCCAAAAGGUCAACAGCAGCACCAGCCUCAGUCACCCCUGCUCAAAAAUUCAGUGUUAUCUUCUUGUCUGCCCUCUCAUUCCCUCGCAGUCGCCAAGCAGUUGCCAAGUCCUUUCCUAUCUUCACAAAAUCCCUUUAUUCUCACAGCCAUCACACUGGCACUUUCCUUUCACCCGGACUAUUCCCCCAGCCUCCUAAAUGGUCUCUUUGACACACUCUCUCCCCUCUCCAAUUUAUCCAUUACUCACUUGCCAAAAAUCUUUUAGAAAUUUUUAUUUUUUAAGUAAAAAUAUUUAACAAAAGCAUUAAAAAAAUUCAACCACCAAGCUUUACCUUAGACGAUAAAAAAGACCAUUCCCAUACACAUAUCAAACCACAAAAUAUGAUUGUGCAUGAAACCAUGAAUUUCCAUUUCAGUGUCUUAAAAAUAGCCUAUGAUAAUUCUGCCCAUCACUUUCACAAUUCCACACUUAGGUUCAAAGCUAUCUUUUCUCCUUUUUCUUUUGAACUUCCUUCUUCAAAUGUUGCAAUGAUCCUCUUUGUGGGAAUUAUUAUUUCUAAACAUCCCCCCCCCCCCAACAAUACACAUUACUUCAAGUUAAACACCAGUAAUAAGUGUGGUUAAGCAAAAUGGAUCCCUGCAUGGCCAAGCCCCAAACUGUGUCUUUUUCCAUCCUUAGAGUUCAUCAUUUUUCUGUGUCCUCCUGGGCAAAUCACUUAUUCUCUGUAUGCUUCAGUUUGUUCUUCUGCAUGAGUAUAACAGCAGCAGCUGCCUCCCAGGGUUGAAAUAAGGAUGAAAAGAGAUAAUUUUUAUGGAAACUUUAAACUGUUGUGUGAGUGGUAGUUUACUAUGCAUUAUUAUUUUUUAUUCUUUCACCUUUCUUUUUUAUUAUAGUUUCUUAUGGACAAAACAUAUGCAUGGGUAAUUUUUCAACAUUGACCCUUGCAAAAACUUCUGUUCCAACUUUUCCCCUCCUUCCCCCCACUCCCUAGAUGGCAGGCAGUCCCAUACAUGUUAAACAUUUUAAAGUAUAUGUUAAAUACAAUAUAUAUCAUAAAUAUUCUUUUCUUUUUGUUUUUUUUUAUAACUUUUUAUUGACAGAUCCCAUGCCAGAGUAAUUUUUUACAACAUUAUCCCCAUAUGUAUUAUUUUCACAAGGAGAAUUUUCUGAUGAUUGGUGCUUUCCCAAAAAUAGAAUAAGCAGCUCAGGGUAUUAUGAGUUCCCUAUGGUCUUCAAGUAGAGGCUGGGUAGACUAGUAUUUGAUAUUGUGAUUGCGGCACCUAAAGAACCUUUAAGAUUCCUGACAACCUGGAAUUGAUAAGAUCUUGGAACACUAUUCCUGGGGAUCAAGGCAGUUACCUUUUCUCCUUAAAGCAUAGAUUAUAAGAAGUGCUUGCUAUCAGAUGAUGACCAAUUAAGAGUCAAUAUUGCUUUGCCAGUGCAUCCAAGACACAUUUUUGAAAAAAACUGUCUAAAUGGAUCCUUUUAAACUUUGUUAUUCCUAAUGAGUGUUUCCUCUUACAUCCUUAUUCCCACUGUUCCUUAAAAAUUAUUUAUGAUUUUAUUUAGUAAAAUAAUUUUCACUUUUUAAAAAAAAAUUUGAGUUCUAAAUUCUCUCCUUCCCUCCAUCGAAAGCAAUUUGAAAUAGAUUAUACAUGUGUAGUCAUGCAAAACACGUUUCCUUAUUAGUCAUAUUGUGAAAAGAAACAUAGACAAAAAAACCCCCAAGAAAAACAAAGAAAGUAAAACAAAGUAUGCUUCAAUCUAUAUUCAGAAUCCAUCACUUCUUUCUCUGGAGGUGGGUAGCAUUUUUCAUCCCAAGUUCUUCAGAGUUGUCUCGGAUCAUUGUAUUGUUGAAAGUAGCUGAGUCAUUCGCAAUGAAAACAUCACACAAUAUUGCUGUUACGGUGUAAAAAGCCUCACUUUUAACAACCAAGUAGAGCUAAGUAAAAUGAAUGUGAGUCAACCAUAUCUAAGCAAGUUUUCCCCUUUCUGAACUUCAGGAGCAGAUUCAAACAAAAACGAGUGAACAUAAAAGGAGCAAUCCAGACACUCAUCCUAGGUCAGUAGGGAGCACGUGGGCCAUGGGAGAAAACCUUAUGUUUGCAGACUGGAGGGGAGGUCUGUUUGCAAGGGAAUAGAUAAUUCUCAGUAUCUCCUAACUGGCACCCUAAAGGGUUACAUUGGUGGCACACACAACUGAUGUUCUGGAGUUUCCCAUCUGUGGGAACAAGUCUUGUUUUGUGUUGUUUCCCUUAUCUGAAGAACUGCCUAAAACAGUUGUGAAAGGUAUUCCCUUUUGUUCCCACACUUUCAGGGAAAUCACAAGGGGAUCUGUUCCCUGCUGGUUGGGGAAAACCAGUGUCCCUCUGUAGAAAACAACCAGAUCCCUGGUCUUUCCACCUCUGCAUUUAGACCCAUUUGCUGAAGGUUUCUCAGAGGGUUUUCCUGGGAAGCAAAAAGAAGAGAGACAUUGUUCACUUUCUCGGUGUCCUGGACCCCCUUAGGCAACAGUUAAGUGAAGGCUGAAGUUCCUCUUCUCAGAAUAACGAUUUUAAAUGUAUAAAAUAAAAUGCAUGAAAUCACCAAGGAAACUAAUUAUAUUGUAACACUAUUAUCAAAUUACACACACACACACACACAGUUCAUGGAUCCCAGGUUGAGAACCUCUCAUCUUAAUUCAUGAUGCUUACAUUUUAUUAUAACGUUUUUAUGUACAAAUAUGAACUAGAUUAUCCUUGGUAGGGGAGAGGGAGAGGGAUUUUGCAUGUAUAGAAAAUAGCAGUUUUAGUACUGGAUUGUUGGAUUCUAUUGCAUCUCUCUCUUUAUUCCUUUGGCACUUCCCGGAAGUCACCCUGGUUUUUUGAUUGAAAGUCAUUGUCCCGAUGAUGAAGCCAAGUUUUAGAGGGAUUUUCUGGGGACAAGAAAUAGUGUCGGGCCCCACAGUAGAGACACUAGUUGGAGGGGAAGGCCAACAGGAAGAAAGAUCUGAGUAACUUGUAUUUAUUAAUCAGCCGCCAUUUUUAGGAGCCCAUGUUCAAUUAGAUAAUUUAAUUCUAAGAAACUUGAGAGUGAGAGUGAGAGGGAAGCGGCCACUGUGUGGUCAGGGCCUCCAUGUUUGCUUGGUAGGGCUCCAGUUCUGACCGAGACCCACUGUGGUGGGCUGCAGAAAGCAGAGACUGGACAGGAAGCUUCAGUUCUCUUAACAGGCAACUCAACCUGUCUCUACAGCAGCACUAGAAGAGGUAGGAGCCAGUCCUGGGGGAGCGGAAGAUAAGCCAGAGCGCAAAGCCCAGGAGCUGGCAGCCCUGGAGUACGGGUCAGUGAGGCCGAGCCCAGGGAACCAAGAAGCUUUAAACCCUGAGGUCAGUCUUUUGGGCCAGAUGGCGCAGUGGUCAGUGUCAGACCAGGAGGUCUCCUCUUCCUGUAACCUCAGAUACUUGCUAGCUCUGUGACGUCCUUCCAAGCCCAGCUAAGAUCCUAUGAUUGUCAGAGGCAGCAUUUGUUCCACACCGGGAGAGCUCAGGUUAGAGUUGUUAGUUUUUAGAACUCCAAAUAUCCCCAGAGCCCCAAACGUCUCCCUACAGAGGGAGGGACUGCUCUGAAGCAGGGACUCUUGAAUUUUUCUUGUAGCUGGAUUUCCAACUAUGGCCUUUUGGAGGUAAGUGCUCCAUGAGCGAUCUCUGUCUCUGUGUCUCCCUCUCUCUUUCUCUCUAACCUUCCUUCCCGCCCUCCUUUUCUUUUCCCUCCCCUCUAUUAUGUCUCCCUCCCUCCCCUUCUGUCUCAGUCUGUUUAUCUUUGUCUCUCUUUCUGUCUCUAUUUCUCCCUCUCCUUCCUUCUCUCUCUUUCUCUCUCUUCCCUUCAUCUGUAUCUCCUCCCUUCCUUCCUCUCUUCCUGUAUGUCUGUGUGUCUCUAUAUCUGUGUCUCUGUUCUGUUGCUGUAUUUGUUUCUCUCUCUCUUCCUGUGUUGGUCUCUUUAUGUCUAUUUCUCUGUCUCUGUUUCUCUCCCUCCCUCUUUCUUUCUCUCUAUCCUUCCUUCCCUCCCCUCUGACUCCUUCCCUCCCCUUCUGUCUCAGUCUGUUUCUCUGUCUCUGUCUGUCUCUGUCUCUGUGUCUCUGUCUCUGUCUGUCUCUCUGUUUCUCUGUCUCUGUGUCUCUGUCUGUCUCUCUGUUUCUCUGUCUCUGUGUCUCUCCCUCCCUCUUCUCUGUCUCUGUCUCUGUCUGUCUCUGAUUCUGUCUCUCUGUGUCUCUCUCUCCCCUGCUCCCGUCUCUUUAUCUCUGUCUGUCUCUGUCUUUGUGUCUCUGUCUCUGUCUGUGUCUCUCCCUCCCCCUCCUCCCGUGUCUGUCUCUUUAUCUCUGUCUCUGUGUCUCUCCCGCCCUCUUCCUUCUCUCUCUCUCCCUACCCCCUCCCUCUCACCGUCCCUUUCUCUCUCUUUCUGUCUCUCUCCCAGCGUCUUGCUUAGAAAGAACAAUGCC